CGUCGCAGCGGCGACUGUCGCCGCUUAUGGAAGCGGCAGCAGGCGCCGCUGCACCAGGCAGCGGCGUCUGCUGCCUACAUAGCAGCGUGAAAACGCUGCUGUGUGAGCAGCGUUUUCACGCUGCUGUAGCGGCAGGAGCCGCUGCUCAGGCGGCUCCUGCCGCGAGACG
This 169-nucleotide small RNA is filed under the name Olea europaea subsp. europaea. Lineage: Eukaryota; Viridiplantae; Streptophyta; Magnoliopsida; Lamiales; Oleaceae. The record is from RNAcentral.